GAGUUUGUAGCUCAGUAGUAGAGCACUUGCCUUGCAUGCAAGAGGCCCAGCUCU
RNAcentral lists this transfer RNA (54 nucleotides) under Heterocephalus glaber (naked mole-rat). It matches the Rfam family "tRNA", at positions 1 to 54 of the family's 71-position model. From Rfam's summary of the family: Transfer RNA (tRNA) molecules are approximately 80 nucleotides in length. Lineage: Eukaryota; Metazoa; Chordata; Mammalia; Rodentia; Bathyergidae. The record is from Rfam by way of RNAcentral.